GGGGCCCGCACAAGCGGUGGAGUAUGUGGUUUAAUUCGAUGCUACGCGAAGAACCUUACCAGGGCUUGACAUGUCCGGAAUCCCGGGGAAAGCUGGGAGUGCCUUCGGGAGCCGGUACACAGGUGGUGCAUGUCUGUCGUCAGCUCGUGUCGUGAGAUGUUGGGUUAAGUCCCGCAACGAGCGCAACCCUCGUCUUUAGUUGCCAGCAUUAAGUUGGGCACUCUAGAGAGACUGCCGGUGACAAACCGGAGGAAGGUGGGGAUGACGUCAAGUCAGCAUGCCCCUUACGCUCUGGGCGACACACGUACUACAAUGGUCGGGACAGAGGGCAGCGAACCUGCGAAGGCAAGCUAAUCCCAGCAAACUCGGCCUCAGUUCAGAUCGCAGGCUGCAACUCGCCUGCGUGAAGGAGGAAUCGCUAGUAAUCGCCGGUCAGUAUACGGCGGUGAAUCCGUUCCCGGGCAUGUACACACCGCCCGUCACACCAUGGAAGCUGGCCACGCCCGAAGUCGUUCCACUACCUUUCGGGAAG
This 532-nucleotide ribosomal RNA is filed under the name uncultured organism. RNAcentral describes it as "bacterial SSU rRNA". It matches the Rfam family "Bacterial small subunit ribosomal RNA", at positions 916 to 1449 of the family's 1533-position model. The record is from RNAcentral.